UAAAAGUCGUAACAAGGUUUCCGUAGGUGAACCUGCGGAAGGAUCAUUACCGUUUGCUUUAAAUAGUAAAACCCACUGCGAACUUAUACAGCUGAUCGUGUGAGGUAACUUGCGUACUUCGGUAUGCAGGCUUUAAAUGGUGACAGCCUCACAUGAGAUGCGAAAAACGUUGUACUCAACACACUUUAUAAUACCAUAAGUUUACGUGUUUACAUGUAAAUUAAAAUAAAAACUUGACAACUUCUAACGGUGGAUCUCUUGGCUCGUGCAUCGAUGAAGAACGUAGCCAGUUGCGAUAAGUAGUGUGAAUUGCAGAAUUCAGUGAAUCAUCGAAUCUUUGAACGCAAAUUGCGCUCUCUGGAUAUCCAGGGAGCAUGCCUGUCUGAGUGUCGUGUUACAAUCAACACACUUCGGUGUGGUUAGAGGGCUCACUGAAUGUUUUCAACAAGCAGUGUCUCUUCAUGUGACUGAACCUGUAUAGUGCUUGUCCUUGACUAGUGCUGUUGGGAAGACUCAACUUGCUUCUGUCCUUUCCUUCAGUUACUGUCAAACUCGCAUGGGUUCUUCGUUUGUUCCUUCGGGUUCGAACAACUACCAACUUUGACCUCAGAUCAGACAAGACUACCCGCUGAAUUUAAGCAUAUUAAUAAGCGGAGGAAAAGAAACCAACCGUCAUAGCUGUUUCCUG
Molecule: ribosomal RNA, 688 nt
Filed under: Catablema vesicarium
Lineage: Eukaryota; Metazoa; Cnidaria; Hydrozoa; Anthoathecata; Pandeidae
Description: eukaryotic LSU rRNA
Rfam family: 5.8S ribosomal RNA (bases 239-392)
Source: RNAcentral